UACGUAGGGUGCGAGCGUUGUCCGGAAUUAUUGGGCGUAAAGAGCUCGUAGGCGGUCUGUCCGCGUCGGUCGUGAAAACUUGGGGCUUAACCCUGAGCUUGCGGUCGAUACGGGCAUGACUGGAGUUCGGUAGGGGAGACUGGAAUUCCUGGUGUAGCGGUGAAAUGCGCAGAUAUCAGGAGGAACACCGGUGGCGAAGGCGGGUCUCUGGGCAGUAACUGACGCUGAGGAGCGAAAGCGUGGGGAGCGAACAGG
Molecule: ribosomal RNA, 255 nt
Filed under: uncultured bacterium
Lineage: Bacteria
Description: partial 16S ribosomal RNA
Rfam family: Bacterial small subunit ribosomal RNA
Source: RNAcentral